RNAcentral lists this ribosomal RNA (250 nucleotides) under uncultured prokaryote. RNAcentral's name for it is "partial 16S ribosomal RNA". It matches the Rfam family "Bacterial small subunit ribosomal RNA", at positions 524 to 774 of the family's 1533-position model. The record is from RNAcentral.
UACGUAGGGGGCGAGCGUUAUCCGGAAUUAUUGGGCGUAAAGAGUACGUAGGUGGUCUACUAAGCGCAAGGUGAAAGCCCGGGGCUCAACUCCGGCGAGCCUUGUGAACUGGCAGACUUGAGUGCAGGAGGGGAAAGUAGAAUUCCUAGUGUAGCGGUGAAAUGCGUAGAUAUUAGGAGGAACACCGGUGGCGAAGGCGACUUUCUGGACUGUAACUGACACUGAGGUACGAAAGCGUGGGGAGCAAGCA